Molecule: small nuclear RNA, 101 nt
Filed under: Procavia capensis (Cape rock hyrax)
Lineage: Eukaryota; Metazoa; Chordata; Mammalia; Hyracoidea; Procaviidae
Source: RNAcentral
UUGCUUCAGCAGCACAUAUACUAAAAUUGGAACACUACAGAGAAGAUUAGCAUGACCCCUGCAUGAGGAUGACACAAAUUUGUGAAGCAUUCCUUAUGUUU